CCUACGGGAGGCAGCAGUGGGGAAUUUUGCGCAAUGCUCGUAAGAGUGACGCAGCGACGCCGCGUGAGUGAAGAAGUAUUUCGGUAUGUAAAGCUCUGUCAGCAGGGAAGAAAGAAAUGACGGUACCUGACCAAGAAGCCCCGGCUAACUACGUGCCAGCAGCCGCGGUAAUACGUAGGGGGCAAGCGUUAUCCGGAAUUACUGGGUGUAAAGGGAGCGUAGACGGUUAAGUAAGUCUGGAGUGAAAGGCCGGGGCCCAACCCCGGGACUGCUCUGGAAACUAUUGAACUUGAGUGCAGGAGAGGUAAGCGGAAUUCCUAGUGUAGCGGUGAAAUGCGUAGAUAUUAGGAGGAACACCAGUGGCGAAGGCGGCUUACUGGACUGUAACUGACGUUGAGGCUCGAAAGCGUGGGGAGCAAACAGGAUUAGAUACCCUUGUAGUC
Molecule: ribosomal RNA, 443 nt
Filed under: uncultured bacterium
Lineage: Bacteria
Description: partial 16S ribosomal RNA
Rfam family: Bacterial small subunit ribosomal RNA
Source: RNAcentral